CCUACGGGUGGCAGCAGUGAGGAAUAUUGGUCAAUGGGCGCGAGCCUGAACCAGCCAAGUCGCGUGAGGGAUGAAGGUUCUAUGGAUCGUAAACCUCUUUUAUAAGGGAAUAAAGUGUGGGACGUGUCCUAUUUUGUAUGUACCUUAUGAAUAAGGAUCGGCUAACUCCGUGCCAGCAGCCGCGGUAAUCAGGAGGAUCCGAGCGUUAUCCGGAUUUAUUGGGUUUAAAGGGUGCGGAGGCGGCCUUUUAAGUCAGCGGUGAAAGUCUGUGGCUCAACCAUCGCAUUGCCGUUGAAACUGGGGGGCUUGAGUAUGUGUGAGGCAGGCGGAAUGCGUGGUGUAGCGGUGAAAUGCUUAGAUAUCACGCAGAACACCGAUUGCGAAGGCAGCCUGCCAAGCCAUGACUGACGCUGAUGCACGAAAGCGUGGGGAUCAAACAGGAUUAGAUACCCCAGUAGUC
Molecule: ribosomal RNA, 460 nt
Filed under: uncultured bacterium
Lineage: Bacteria
Description: partial 16S ribosomal RNA
Rfam family: Bacterial small subunit ribosomal RNA
Source: RNAcentral